UUGUGCUGGGGCUGCGGGUGCUGGGCUGUCAGCAGCAAGUCCCCCUGGUGCCAGGGACCCAGGACAAUGAGGGAGGAGGGGAGAGGCUGGGGCCGGCCCCCUGCUGUGCCCCCGAACCGGAAUUCUGCAUUCUAGCUAACAUUUAUUAAGUCUCGCACCUGCCGGCCUCUAGCUCAGCUCUUUACGAGCAGCGCCUCAUUCAGUGUUGCAGACGGUCCCACAUCGUAGGUCCCCCGAUGUACAGGUGAGGUAACUGAGGCUCCGAGAGGUUAAGUCACUUGCCAAAGCUCGUACAGCAAAUAAUAGUGGCAGAGUUGGCAUCUGAACCCAGAAAAUGUGACUCCGGAACCUGAAGGCCCAACUGCUGUGCCAGACAGGCGGUGUCACAACGUGCCUGGGUUGUGACAUCAAGUGUCAGAGCAGACAGAGAGGACAGCAUUUCUCCUGCACAGCCUUUCCCUCUCUUCCAUCCUCUGAAGAUAACAGCUCCCCUUUUUGACCCCUGAAUAUGUACCAGGCACUGUGAUGGGCAAAUGACACUUCCUACCUCUGUUAGCUCUCACAACAGUCUCUGUGAGGCAGGGGCUGGUGUUCCCAUGUUGCGGAUGAGGAAACUGAGGCUCAGGAACCACUGGUUGUCAGAGCUGGCCUGAAACCUUGGUCCUUGGAUUCCGUGCCCUGAGCUCUUUCCAUGUGCCCCCUUCUCCCACUAUCUGAAAGGGGCCUUAUAGACGGCGGGGUGGGAGGGUGACCACCUGUGUGAUAUGGGCCCAUUGCACCAAAAGAUUUUUGUCUUGGGGAAAAUACUCCCUCCGCACAGUGCCCACUGGAUGAAGGCAUGGAAUUUCUUUUACCGGAGGCAAAGCUUUGCAUGUCAGAGUGACGUGAAGGGACGGGGACAGAAUCCCCAAGGGAGAGGGGGUCUGAUGUCACAGCAAGGUGUGAGUGACCCUUUGGAGGCCUCUGGGCUCUGUCUGGGGAGCUCAACUGGAUCUGCUGGGGAGGGGUGGGGCCCCCUCUGCAGACAGCAAACUUGCCUGCCUGAGGCUCACCCUAAUAUCCUCCAGCACAUCUCCUGGGAGUUUCCCUCCGCCGUCAUUAAAUUAUUAACCGGCGUGUCUUGAGCUGUCCAACUCCUCACCAGAACAGUUGUCCCUCCAAGGAGUCCGUUCCACCUUCAAGUAUGAAACAAAGGUGGAUGAUCCGGUGCUCAGUUCCACUCGCAGUCCACUCUCAGCCUUCCUUCCUUCCCCCUCCCCUGGAGGAGAGGAGAUCAAAGCUGCAUCAACCCUUUCGCUCUUUGUUCUGACGUGGUGGGAGGUCACGGGGAGGGUAAGUUUGGGGGCUCGAAUGCUCUGUGUCCAGAAAAGGUCUGUCCUCUUUGGAGCGACCCUGGACUAACACGGCAGCCGUGGGGCUCGCAUGCGCCCCUCUGAGGGGUCGGUGACCCCGGGUCCUCGCUCCGCCCAGUCCUCCCCUGUGAUCUCAGGAAAUGGAGACAGAGUCAGGAAGAGGCGGAUGGACGCACUGCAGCCCCCUGUCCCCACCUGCCAAGCGGAUACACGCCACCCAGAAUCCCAAAUACAGAUUUUUAAACAAA
This is a non-coding RNA of Equus caballus (horse), 1600 nucleotides long. Lineage: Eukaryota; Metazoa; Chordata; Mammalia; Perissodactyla; Equidae. The record is from RefSeq and is a predicted model, not a curated record.